Molecule: ribosomal RNA, 253 nt
Filed under: uncultured bacterium
Lineage: Bacteria
Description: partial 16S ribosomal RNA
Rfam family: Bacterial small subunit ribosomal RNA
Source: RNAcentral
UACGUAGGGUGCAAGCGUUAAUCGGAAUUACUGGGCGUAAAGCGUGCGCAGGCGGUUUUGUAAGUCUGUCGUGAAAGCCCCGGGCUCAACCUGGGAAUUGCGAUGGAGACUGCAAGGCUUGAAUCUGGCAGAGGGGGGUAGAAUUCCACGUGUAGCAGUGAAAUGCGUAGAGAUGUGGAGGAACACCGAUGGCGAAGGCAGCCCCCUGGGUUAAGAUUGACGCUCAUGCACGAAAGCGUGGGGAGCAAACAGG